RNAcentral lists this ribosomal RNA (442 nucleotides) under uncultured bacterium. RNAcentral describes it as "bacterial SSU rRNA". It matches the Rfam family "Bacterial small subunit ribosomal RNA", at positions 954 to 1392 of the family's 1533-position model. The record is from RNAcentral.
GCACAACGCGAAGAACCUUACCAACCCUUGACAUGUGUAUCGCGGUUCCAGAGAUGGUUCCUUCAGUUCGGCUGGAUACAACACAGGUGCUGCAUGGCUGUCGUCAGCUCGUGUCGUGAGAUGUUGGGUUAAGUCCCGCAACGAGCGCAACCCUUUUCCUUAUUUGCCAGCGGGUUAAGCCGGGAACUUUAAGGAUACUGCCAGUGACAAACUGGAGGAAGGCGGGGAUGACGUCAAAUCAUCAUGCCCCUUAUGACCUGGGCUACACACGUACUACAAUGGCCGGUACAAAGGGCUGCGAAACCGCAAGGUGGAGCGAAUCCCAAAAAGCCGGUCUCAGUUCGGAUUGGGGUCUGCAACUCGACCCCAUGAAGUCGGAGUCGCUAGUAAUCGCAGAUCAGCAACGCUGCGGUGAAUACGUUCCCGGGUCUUGUACACACCG